UAGAGAUAGCUGGUUAUUUGAGAAACGGAUAUUAGUCCAACUUAAAAUUUUUAAAUGCUCUCCACAACAAACUAAUAAAUUUUAAAUUUAUUCAAAUAAGGUACAGCCUAUUUGAAAAAGGAUACAACCUUUAACAGAGGGUAAUGUUUAAACAUAUGAAUUAAGUGGGCCUAAAAGCAGCCACCUUUAAAAAAGCGUUAAAGCUUCAUCACACGAUAAUAUAAAUACCAAUCAAAAUACAAAACCCCUUAUCCAUAUUAAAUGACCCCAUAAUCAUAUGGUAAACUUUAUGUCUGAACUAGUAACAAGAAUAACUUCUCCAUAAACGUAAGUGUAAGCCAGAAUGAACCCCUCACCGGCACUUAUCGCCUAUAAACUCACAGUAACAACUAACCAAGAAAACCCUACUAACCAGAGCGUUAAUCUUACACCAGAACGACCCAGGAAAGAUUAAAAACGGAGGAAGGAACUCGGCAAAUACUAACCCCGCCUGUUUACCAA
RNAcentral lists this ribosomal RNA (501 nucleotides) under Xenorhina lanthanites. RNAcentral's name for it is "partial 16S ribosomal RNA". The record is from RNAcentral. Lineage: Eukaryota; Metazoa; Chordata; Amphibia; Anura; Microhylidae.